GUAGUGAACAAAGUGAGUACGGUAGUGUACUAAACAGAGUGAGUACGGUAGUGAACUAAACAGAGUGAUUACAGUAGUAAACAGAAUGAGUAGUGUGCUAAACAGAGUGAGUACGGUAGUGUGCUAAACAGAGUGAGUACGGUAGUGUGCUAAACAGAGUGAGUACGGUAGUGUGCUAAACAGAGAGUACGGUAGUGUGCUAAACAGAGUGAGUAGUGUAGUGUGCAAACAGAGUGAGUACAGUAGUGUGCUAAACAGAGUGAGUACGGUAGUGUGCUAAACAGAGUGAGUAGUGUAGUGUGCUAAACAGAGUGAGUAGGGUAGUAAACAGAGUGAGUACCGUAGUGUACUAAACAGAGUGAGUACAGUAGUUAACAGAGUGAGUACGGUAGUGUACUAAACAGUGUGAGUACGGUAGUGUACUAAACAGAGUGAAUACGGUAGUGUACUAAACAGAGUGAGUACGGUAGUGUGCUAAACAGAGUGAGUACGGUAGUAAACAGAGUGAGUAGUGUACUAAACAGAGUGAGUGCUGUAGUGAACAAAGUGAGUACGGUAGUGUACUAAACAGAGUGAGUACGGUAGUGAACUAAACAGAGUGAUUACAGUAGUAAACAGAAUGAGUAGUGUGCUAAACAGAGUGAGUACGGUAGUGUGCUAAACAGAGUGAGUACGGUAGUGCCAAACAGAGUGAGUACGGUAGUGUGCCAAACAGAGUGAGCACGGUAGUGUGCUAAACAGAGUGAGUAGUGUAGUGUGCUAAACAGAGUGAGUACAGUAGUGUGCUAAACAGAGUGAGUACGGUAGUGUGCUAAACAGAGUGAGUAGUGUAGUGUGCUAAACAGAGUGAGUACGGUAGUAAACAGAGUGAGUACCGUAGUGUACUAAAACAGAGUGAGUACAGUAGUUAACAGAGUGAGUACGGUAGUGUACUAAACAGAGUGAGUACGGUAGUGUACUAAACAGAGUGAGUACGGUAGUGUACUAAACAGAGUGAGUACGGUAGUGUGCUAAACAGAGUCAGUACGGUAGUGUACUAAACAGAGUGAUUACGGUAGUGUACUAAACAGAGUGAGUACGGUAGUAAACAGAGUGAGUACGGUAGUGUGCUAAACAGAGUGAGUACGGUAGUGAACACAGUGAGUACGGUAGUGUACUAAACAGAGUGAGUAUGGUAGUGUGCUAAACAGAGUGAGUACAGUAGGGUGCUAAACAGAGUGAGUACAGUAGGGUGCUAAACAGAGUGAGUACGGUAGUAAACAGAGUGAGUACGGUAGUGUGCUAAACAGAGUGAGUAAGGUAGUGUGCUAAACAGAGUGAGUACGGUAGUAAACAGAGUGAGUAGUGUACUAAACAGAGUGAGUGCUGUAGUGAACAAAGUGAGUACGGUAGUGUACUAAACAGAGUGAGUACGGUAGUGAACUAAACAGAGUGAUUACAGUAGUAAACAGAAUGAGUAGUGUGCUAAACAGAGUGAGUACGGUAGUGUGCUAAACAGAGUGAGUACGGUAGUGUGCUAAACAGAGUGAGUACGGUAGUGUGCUAAACAGAGAGUACGGUAGUGUGCUAAACAGAGUGAGUAGUGUAGUGUGCUAAACAGAGUGAGUACAGUAGUGUGCUAAACAGAGUGAGUACGGUAGUGUGCUAAACAGAGUGAGUAGUGUAGUGUGCUAAACAGAGUGAGUACGGUAGUAAACAGAGUGAGUACCGUAGUGUACUAAACAGAGUGAGUACAGUAGUUAACAGAGUGAGUA
RNAcentral lists this long non-coding RNA (1754 nucleotides) under Salmo salar (Atlantic salmon). Its description in RNAcentral is "lncRNA (ENSSSAG00000097039.1)". The record is from RNAcentral. Lineage: Eukaryota; Metazoa; Chordata; Actinopteri; Salmoniformes; Salmonidae.